RNAcentral lists this transfer RNA (62 nucleotides) under Cucujoidea sp. 3 KM-2017. Its description in RNAcentral is "tRNA-Glu". Lineage: Eukaryota; Metazoa; Arthropoda; Insecta; Coleoptera. The record is from RNAcentral.
AUUUAAAUAGUUUAAUAAAACAUUACAUUUUCAUUGUAAAAUUGAAUUUUUUUCUUUAAAUA